RNAcentral lists this ribosomal RNA (233 nucleotides) under uncultured bacterium. Its description in RNAcentral is "partial 16S ribosomal RNA". It matches the Rfam family "Bacterial small subunit ribosomal RNA", at positions 976 to 1207 of the family's 1533-position model. The record is from RNAcentral.
UGGGUUUGACAUGGAUCGGGAGUGCUCAGAGAUGGGUGUGCCUCUUUUGGGGUCGGUUCACAGGUGGUGCAUGGCUGUCGUCAGCUCGUGUCGUGAGAUGUUGGGUUAAGUCCCGCAACGAGCGCAACCCUUGUUCACUGUUGCCAGCACGUUAUGGUGGGGACUCAGUGGAGACCGCCGGGGUCAACUCGGAGGAAGGUGGGGAUGACGUCAAGUCAUCAUGCCCCUUAUGU